This 1405-nucleotide unclassified non-coding RNA is filed under the name uncultured Neocallimastigales. RNAcentral describes it as "partial contains internal transcribed spacer 1, 5.8S ribosomal RNA, internal transcribed spacer 2, and large subunit ribosomal RNA". The stretch from base 645 to 1405 matches the Rfam family "Eukaryotic large subunit ribosomal RNA", at positions 1 to 621 of the family's 3401-position model. Lineage: Eukaryota; Fungi; Neocallimastigomycota; Neocallimastigomycetes; Neocallimastigales. The record is from RNAcentral.
GCGGAAGGAUCAUUAAAAAAUUGGACUCCAUUGGUGAGUUCAUUAAUAAUCCCUACCCUUUGUGAAUUUGUUUGUUUGAAUAAUUUUUUUUCCAAAAAAAAAUUAUUGAAUGUCUUUCCUUGUUUUGGUGGAGCUUGUAAAGUGAAACCGGCAGGGGAAUGGCAAACAAUAAUUAUUUUUGAAAAAGACCUUUUUUUAAAAUUAAACUUUUUGUAUUCAUUUGUCUAAAAUUAAUUUUUAUAAUAUAAAAACAACUUUUGACAAUGGAUCUCUUGGUUCUCGCAACGAUGAAGAACGCAGCAAAAUGCGAUAAGUAGUGUGAAUUGCAGAAUACGUGAAUCAUCGAAUCUUCGAACGCAUAUUGCACUUUUUUAGUUUACUAAAAAAGUAUGUCUGUUUGAGUAUCAGUAAAAUAUUCUCAUAAAAAACAUUGUUUUUUUAUGGUUAUGAGUGUUUUACAACGAUAACAAGUUGUUUCACUUUAAAUUCUUUGUUAUCAAAAAAAUCAUUAAAAGCUAAUUUUAAAGAUUUUUUAAAAUUGGAUAAAAUUUUCCCGUAAAAAGGAAUAACCUAAACAAUUUUAAAAAAAUUAAAAUUGGUUUGAUUUUUUUUGAAACCCAAAGGAAAAAAAAACGAAAUUAACUUGAUCUCAAAUCAGAUAAGAGUACCCGCUGAACUUAAGCAUAUCAAUAAGCGGAGGAAAAGAAACUAACUAGGAUUCCCUCAGUAACGGCGAGUGAAGCGGGAAGAGCUCAAAUUUGAAAUCUCCAAGGUUUUACCUUGACGAAUUGUAGUUUAAAGAAGUGUUUUCUGUUGGAGUUUUGGUAAAAGUUCUUUGGAAAAGGACAUCAUAGAGGGUGAGAAUCCCGUAUUUGACCAUUAUCUCCAGCUUUGUGAUACACUUUCAAAGAGUCGGAUUGUUUGGGAAUGCAGUCCAAAAUGGGUGGUAAAUUUCAUCUAAAGCUAAAUACUGGCGAGAGACCGAUAGCGAACAAGUACCGUGAGGGAAAGAUGAAAAGAACUUUGAAAAGAGAGUUAAACAGUACGUGAAAUUGUCAAAAGGGAGCGUUUGACACCAGUGUUGUAUUCUCGAAAAUCAAUUAAAAAAGGCCGGAUUUUUGUGUUGUAUUGACUUUAUCAGCUUUCUGCACUCUUUUCUUGUCUUUUUUAAUGCACUUUUCGUUUAACAAGUCAACAUCAAUUUCUUUUGUUGUAAAAGGGUCAUUGGAAGGUGGCUUUCUUUUCGGAGAAGUGUUUAUAGCCUUUGGCCUCUGCAAUCGGAGAGAUUGAGGUCUGCAGCGUAGAUCCUUCGGGGUUAGAUACAUUUGUGCUAAGUUAUAGCCUUUCAUAGACAACUUGUUGACUAUGAUCAGUCAUGUAGCUUACUCGCUUAUGCUAUUUUACC